This 603-nucleotide ribosomal RNA is filed under the name Hanseniaspora uvarum. RNAcentral's name for it is "eukaryotic LSU rRNA". It matches the Rfam family "Eukaryotic large subunit ribosomal RNA", at positions 52 to 664 of the family's 3401-position model. The record is from RNAcentral. Lineage: Eukaryota; Fungi; Ascomycota; Saccharomycetes; Saccharomycodales; Saccharomycodaceae.
GGAGGAAAAGAAACCAACUGGGAUUACCUUAGUAACGGCGAGUGAAGCGGUAAAAGCUCAAAUUUGAAAUCUGGUACUUUCAGUGCCCGAGUUGUAAUUUGUAGAAUUUGUCUUUGAUUAGGUCCUUGUCUAUGUUCCUUGGAACAGGACGUCAUAGAGGGUGAGAAUCCCGUUUGGCGAGGAUACCUUUUCUCUGUAAGACUUUUUCGAAGAGUCGAGUUGUUUGGGAAUGCAGCUCAAAGUGGGUGGUAAAUUCCAUCUAAAGCUAAAUAUUGGCGAGAGACCGAUAGCGAACAAGUACAGUGAUGGAAAGAUGAAAAGAACUUUGAAAAGAGAGUGAAAAAGUACGUGAAAUUGUUGAAAGGGAAGGGCAUUUGAUCAGACAUGGUGUUUUUUGCAUGCACUCGCCUCUCGUGGGCUUGGGCCUCUCAAAAAUUUCACUGGGCCAACAUCAAUUCUGGCAGCAGGAUAAAUCAUUAAGAAUGUAGCUACUUCGGUAGUGUUAUAGCUUUUUGGAAUACUGUUAGCCGGGAUUGAGGACUGCGCUUCGGCAAGGAUGUUGGCAUAAUGGUUAAAUGCCGCCCGUCUUGAAAAACGGGACCU